Hyla sarda is the source of this 186-nucleotide small nuclear RNA. RefSeq annotates it as U2 spliceosomal RNA. Lineage: Eukaryota; Metazoa; Chordata; Amphibia; Anura; Hylidae. The record is from RefSeq and is a predicted model, not a curated record. The transcript has a single exon.
AUUGAAGUUUUUGAGUUUUUCAAAUAAUGUAUAAAAAAAAUCUGUUCUUAUCAGUUUUAUAUCUGAUACGUCUGGGGACCAUAUAUUAAAUGGAUUUUUCAGAACGGGGUCCGAUUUUGAAGCUUGCUUCCGUCGCCCUAUGUAUGGACCCGAUAUGGCAGUAUCUUCGGGUAGAGUGUCCUGAUG